RNAcentral lists this transfer RNA (69 nucleotides) under Cynoglossus semilaevis (tongue sole). Its description in RNAcentral is "tRNA-Arg". It matches the Rfam family "tRNA". From Rfam's summary of the family: Transfer RNA (tRNA) molecules are approximately 80 nucleotides in length. The record is from RNAcentral. Lineage: Eukaryota; Metazoa; Chordata; Actinopteri; Pleuronectiformes; Cynoglossidae.
AAACAGCUAGUUUAAAAAAAAUAUUUGAUUUCGACUCAAAAGCUUGUGGUCAAAUUCCGCAGCUGUUUA